This is a ribosomal RNA of 3027 nucleotides. The stretch from base 725 to 3027 matches the Rfam family "Bacterial large subunit ribosomal RNA".
CCCCAGUAGACGGUGGGAUCGGCGUCCGGUUCGGUGGCGGCGAACAGGGUGGAGUGCGCGGCCUUGUGCGGCGGAUGCCCGAUGAGCUUGAUGAAUGGCUUGCUCACCCGGUCGAUCGGGGUCUCGGUGCGGGCGAACAGAUCGGUCGCCGAGACACCGGGGUGCACGGCGUAGGACUUCUUCGCCGAGCCCGCCUCGGUGAGCCUGCGCUGCAGUUCGCGGCCGAACAUGAGGUUGGCGAGCUUGGCUUGGGCGUAGGCGAGAUUGCGCUGGUAGCGGCGGUUCUCGUAGUUGAGGUCGUCGAUCCACAGCUUGGGGGUCUGCUUGUGCGCGAUGCUGGCCAGCGACACCACCCGGUCGCCGAUCCGGUCGAGCAGCAGCGCGGUGAGCGCGAAGUGGCCGAGGUGGUUGACGCCGAACUGGGUCUCGAAUCCGUCGGCGGUGCGCGAGAACGGGAUGUUCAUCAGGCCCGCGUUGUUGAUCAGCACGUCGAAGUCGCCCUGUUGUUCGGCGAACGCGCGCACCGAGGCCAGAUCGGCGAGGUCGAGCGCGGCGACUCGCACGUCGCCGGGAAUGGCGUCGGCGAUCGGCUGCGCCUUGGCCGCGUUGCGGCAGGCCAUGAUCACGGUGGCGCCCUUGCCUGCCAGCACCUUCGUGGUUUCGGCGCCGAGGCCGCCGUUGGCCCCGGUGAUCACGAACGUGCGCCCGCUCUGGUCCGCGAUGUCAGUUGGUUUCCAUGCCAUGCACCGACCUUACUCCUGAGUAAGAUAGGAGGGAAGUGGGCAGCCGGGCAGUCCUGUCAGCGUACGGGCGCCGCCGGGUCCGGUCGACCACGCCGUGCGCUCACGCGUCGGCGGCGAUUGCUGGAUGGCCUAGGGGGCCUACAAGCUUACCGAAGUCAGCCAAACUCCGAAUGCCGGUGUGUGAGAGCGUGGCAGUGAGACUGCGGGGGAUAAGCUUCGUAGUCGAGAGGGAAACAGCCCAGAUCGCCGGCUAAGGCCCCUAAGCGUGUACUAAGUGGAAAAGGAUGUGGGGUCGCUUAGACAACCAGGAGGUUGGCUUAGAAGCAGCCACCCUUGAAAGAGUGCGUAAUAGCUCACUGGUCAAGUGAUCCUGCGCCGACAAUGUAGCGGGGCUCAAGUACACCGCCGAAGCCGCGGCAUUCACGCAAUAGCCCGUCCCAGCUGUAGUGGUUGGGGCCAGGUGUGUGGAUGGGUAGGGGAGCGUCCUGUGGCCGUGGAAGCAGCAGUGUGAACUAGCUGUGGAGGCCAUGGGAGUGAGAAUGCAGGCAUGAGUAGCGAAAGACGAGUGAGAAACUCGUCCGCCGAAUGACCAAGGGUUCCUGGGCCAGGUUAAUCCGCCCAGGGUGAGUCGGGACCUAAGGCGAGGCCGACAGGCGUAGUCGAUGGACAACGGGUUGAUAUUCCCGUACCCGUGUAUCCGCGCCCAAUGCUGAAUCAGUUGUGCUAAGUAUCCAAAUGUUGUCUUACCGAGCCUUCGGGUGAGGGGGAUGAUGGCUGCAUAUGACCCUGACUGUAGUAGGUAAGCGAUGGGGUGACGCAGGAAGGUAGCUGGGCCAGGUGAUGGAAUACCUGGUGUAAGCGUGUAGGGAGUGUGAUAGGCAAAUCCGUCACACAUGUGUCCUGAGACGUGAUGCGUACCCGUUGAGGGGAAUUCAGUGAUCCUAUGCUGCCGAGAAAAGCCUCUAGCGAGCUGGUACAUGGCCCGUACCCCAAACCGACACAGGUGGUCAGGUAGAGAAUACUAAGGCGAUCGAGAGAACUGUGGUUAAGGAACUCGGCAAAAUGCCCCCGUAACUUCGGGAGAAGGGGGACCACAUCUGGUGAUGAUCUUUACGGUCUGAGCUGGGUGGGGUCGCAGAGACCAGAGAGAAGCGACUGUUUACUAAAAACACAGGUCCGUGCGAAGUCGUAAGACGAUGUAUACGGACUGACGCCUGCCCGGUGCCGGAAGGUUAAGAGGACCGGUUAGCCACUUGUGGCGAAGCUGAGAAUUUAAGCCCCGGUAAACGGCGGUGGUAACUAUAACCAUCCUAAGGUAGCGAAAUUCCUUGUCGGGUAAGUUCCGACCUGCACGAAUGGCGUAACGACUUCUCUGCUGUCUCAACCACAGACUCGGCGAAAUUGCAUUACGAGUAAAGAUGCUCGUUACGCGCGGCAGGACGAAAAGACCCCGGGACCUUCACUAUAGCUUGGUAUUGGUGUUCGGUACGGUUUGUGUAGGAUAGGUGGGAGACUGUGAAGCGGGCACGCUAGUGUUUGUGGAGUCGUCGUUGAAAUACCACUCUGAUCGUAUUGGACUUCUAACCUCGGACCAUGAUCUGGUUCAGGGACAGUGCCUGGUGGGUAGUUUAACUGGGGCGGUUGCCUCCUAAAAUGUAACGGAGGCGCCCAAAGGUUCCCUCAGCCUGGUUGGCAAUCAGGUGUUGAGUGCAAGUGCACAAGGGAGCUUGACUGUGAGACUGACAGGUCGAGCAGGGACGAAAGUCGGGACUAGUGAUCCGGCACCGGCAAGUGGAAGCGGUGUCGCUCAACGGAUAAAAGGUACCCCGGGGAUAACAGGCUGAUCUUCCCCAAGAGUCCAUAUCGACGGGAUGGUUUGGCACCUCGAUGUCGGCUCGUCGCAUCCUGGGGCUGGAGUAGGUCCCAAGGGUUGGGCUGUUCGCCCAUUAAAGCGGCACGCGAGCUGGGUUUAGAACGUCGUGAGACAGUUCGGUCUCUAUCCGCCGCGCGCGUUAGAAACUUGAGGAAGGCUGUCCCUAGUACGAGAGGACCGGGACGGACGAACCUCUGGUGUGCCAGUUGUUCCGCCAGGAGCACUGCUGGUUGGCUACGUUCGGAAGGGAUAACCGCUGAAAGCAUCUAAGCGGGAAGCCUGUUCCAAGAUGAGGUUUCUCUCCACCUUGAGUGGUUAAGGCCCCCUACAGACCAUGGGGUUGAUAGGCCGGAACUGGAAGCCAGGUAACUGGUGUAGGUGACUGGUACUAAUAGGCCGAGGGCUUAUUAU